AGAGUUGAUUAGAAACUUGGAGAAGUGAGUUUUUAUGAAAGGGUGAAAAUAUGAAAAGAAACAAGAAAAAGAAAUCACCCUUGAAACCAUAGAGCAAAGAAAAAGAAAAGAAAGAAAAAAAUAAAGAAAAGGCUCAUGGUUGUGUGGAUGUAAAAAAAAGAAAAAAGAUGAGAAAAGGAAAAAGACGGGGAUCAAAGAAAUGGAAAUUGUGUAGAGUUGAAUGUUUGGGAAUGCUCCCUUAGGAUAGGCAACUUUGUUGAAUUC
RNAcentral lists this long non-coding RNA (264 nucleotides) under Lathyrus oleraceus (garden pea). RNAcentral describes it as "Pisum sativum (pea) long non-coding RNA (PSAT_LNC026157)". Lineage: Eukaryota; Viridiplantae; Streptophyta; Magnoliopsida; Fabales; Fabaceae. The record is from RNAcentral.